AAGUAAAAUUAAUUAUUUUGGAGAAAGAUUUAAUGCUAAUGACAUUGAGUUGUAAAUAAGUCCAAAUCCAGGAUUUAUUUGUUAAAAUGGCUUCAAAAAUGUAUAUAUAGAUACCUGCAAAAUCUCCAUCGCUCCUGUUAACAGUUUCUUCUCUUGGUGGGAUUUUAUUU
Molecule: small RNA, 170 nt
Filed under: Arabidopsis thaliana (thale cress)
Lineage: Eukaryota; Viridiplantae; Streptophyta; Magnoliopsida; Brassicales; Brassicaceae
Description: ATSL032130
Source: RNAcentral